This 704-nucleotide ribosomal RNA is filed under the name Salmonella enterica. RNAcentral's name for it is "bacterial SSU rRNA". It matches the Rfam family "Bacterial small subunit ribosomal RNA", at positions 839 to 1533 of the family's 1533-position model. RNAcentral also lists the same sequence under 1 other name. The record is from RNAcentral. Lineage: Bacteria; Pseudomonadati; Pseudomonadota; Gammaproteobacteria; Enterobacterales; Enterobacteriaceae.
GUGGCUUCCGGAGCUAACGCGUUAAGUAGACCGCCUGGGGAGUACGGCCGCAAGGUUAAAACUCAAAUGAAUUGACGGGGGCCCGCACAAGCGGUGGAGCAUGUGGUUUAAUUCGAUGCAACGCGAAGAACCUUACCUGGUCUUGACAUCCACAGAACUUUCCAGAGAUGGACUGGUGCCUUCGGGAACUGUGAGACAGGUGCUGCAUGGCUGUCGUCAGCUCGUGUUGUGAAAUGUUGGGUUAAGUCCCGCAACGAGCGCAACCCUUAUCCUUUGUUGCCAGCGGUUAGGUCGGGAACUCAAAGGAGACUGCCAGUGAUAAACUGGAGGAAGGUGGGGAUGACGUCAAGUCAUCAUGGCCCUUACGACCAGGGCUACACACGUGCUACAAUGGCGCAUACAAAGAGAAGCGACCUCGCGAGAGCAAGCGGACCUCAUAAAGUGCGUCGUAGUCCGGAUUGGAGUCUGCAACUCGACUCCAUGAAGUCGGAAUCGCUAGUAAUCGUGGAUCAGAAUGCCACGGUGAAUACGUUCCCGGGCCUUGUACACACCGCCCGUCACACCAUGGGAGUGGGUUGCAAAAGAAGUAGGUAGCUUAACCUUCGGGAGGGCGCUUACCACUUUGUGAUUCAUGACUGGGGUGAAGUCGUAACAAGGUAACCGUAGGGGAACCUGCGGUUGGAUCACCUCCUUACCUUAAAGAA